This 272-nucleotide ribosomal RNA is filed under the name uncultured Pseudomonas sp. RNAcentral describes it as "partial 16S ribosomal RNA". It matches the Rfam family "Bacterial small subunit ribosomal RNA", at positions 1113 to 1382 of the family's 1533-position model. The record is from RNAcentral. Lineage: Bacteria; Pseudomonadati; Pseudomonadota; Gammaproteobacteria; Pseudomonadales; Pseudomonadaceae.
AGUUACCAGCACGUUAUGGUGGGCGACUCUAAGGAGACUGCCGGUGACAAACCGGAGGAAAGGUGGGGAUGACGUCAAGUCAUCAUGGCCCUUACGGCCUGGGCUACACACGUGCUACAAUGGUCGGUACAAAGGGUUGCCAAGCCGCGAGGUGGAGCUAAUCCCAUAAAACCGACCGUAGUCCGGAUCGCAGUCUGCAACUCGACUGCGUGAAGUCGGAAUCGCUAGUAAUCGUGAAUCAGAAUGUCACGGUGAAUACGUUCCCGGGCCUU